GAUGAAGAACGCAGCGAAAUGCGAUAAGUAAUGUGAAUUGCAGAAUUCAGUGAAUCAUCGAAUCUUUGAACGCACAUUGCGCCCGCCAGUAUUCUGGCGGGCAUGCCUGUUCGAGCGUCAUUUCAACCAUCAAGCCUUCGCUUGUGUUGGGGCCCCGCGGCUGCCGCGGCCCCCUAAAUCCAGUGGCGGGCUCGUCGUCGUACCGAGCGCAGUAGACAUCCUCGCUCCGGGAACCCGACGGGUGCCGGCCGUGAAACCCCCCCCAUCAAGGUUGACCUCGGAUCAGGUAGGAAUACCCGCUGAACUUAAGCAUAUCAAUAAGCGGAGGA
Molecule: unclassified non-coding RNA, 329 nt
Filed under: soil metagenome
Description: partial contains 5.8S ribosomal RNA, internal transcribed spacer 2, and large subunit ribosomal RNA
Rfam family: 5.8S ribosomal RNA (bases 1-120)
Source: RNAcentral